UACGGAGGGUGCAAACGUUGCUCGGAAUCAUUGGGCGUAAAGCGCACGUAGGCGGCUCGUUAAGUCGGAUGUGAAAGCCCUGGGCUCAACCCAGGAAGUGCAUACGAAACUGGCGAGCUUGAGUAUGGAAGAGGGUCGCGGAAUUCCCGGUGUAGAGGUGAAAUUCGUAGAUAUCGGGAGGAACACCAGUGGCGAAGGCGGCCCACUGGCUCGAUACUGACGCUGAGGUGCGAAAGCGUGGGGAGCAAACAGG
RNAcentral lists this ribosomal RNA (253 nucleotides) under uncultured bacterium. RNAcentral's name for it is "partial 16S ribosomal RNA". It matches the Rfam family "Bacterial small subunit ribosomal RNA", at positions 524 to 776 of the family's 1533-position model. The record is from RNAcentral.